Microplitis mediator is the source of this 1801-nucleotide long non-coding RNA. RefSeq lists it as uncharacterized. The transcript has 3 exons. The record is from RefSeq and is a predicted model, not a curated record. Lineage: Eukaryota; Metazoa; Arthropoda; Insecta; Hymenoptera; Braconidae.
ACACGGCACAGUGGUCUAGUGUAAGGUGAUGGACGCGUGCCCCACGACUGUAUAUGUAUCCAGCACGUAUAGACCAAAAAGUAUAACGGUGGUGGUUACCAUUAUCUUUAUACUAUUACCAUUACUAAUGUAAUACUUGUAUAUGGACAUAUAUUUAUGUGUAUAUAUACCAGUGUUGGGUAUGAAGAAACCGAAAAGAAGGAAAUAAUUUCGUGAAAAGUAGUGGAGGCAGAGGAAAAAAGGAGGAGCUUAGAAUUGUAAUAAUAAUAAUAAAAUUCAACCCCACGACUACCUGUAAGACAAAUUUGUAUAAGGAACCAUUUGAAAAAAUUUUACCGCCAUGAAAAAAAUUUUAAAAAAUUUAUAUUGCUAUUGGGUUGAAAAAAUAUUGGAGUAAAAAAAUUAUUAAUGAAUGAAGUAAAUUUAAAAAUGUAGUGAUACAUAUGUUUAUAUAUAUGUUUCGAAACUUUUUAAACAUAUUUACUAUCAACGUUAAUAAGAAUCGAGGAAGUAGGAGGAAAAAUAACGCAAUAAUUCUCUGAUAGUGAAUAAUAUCUUCAAGGUGGGUCGACUAUUAUUAUCACAACAGAGUAAUAAAAUUUUAGAGAUUAAUGAUUAUUAUAAAAAAUUAAUUUUUUUAUCUAAAAAUAGAAAGAAAUUAAUAGUAAUUUUUAAGUUUAAAUAUUAAGCAGCAAUUAUUGAUAUGUAUUAAUUAAAAUAAUUAAUAAAAUUAAAAGGUAAUUAAUAAUCUAAGUAAGAAGUAUACAGAGAAUUUCAUGAAUAAUGCAACUAAGCAUUCACUCAUUUUUUUUUUUUUUUUUUUCUAACUGUUGAUCCUUGUUUAAUUUGUACGCGUCAAGAGCAUUAAAAGCCGGACAAUUUUAUCAGCCCUCAUGUUAAAAAUUCUGCGGGCACAGGUGAUGAGAAUAAAACUCGCACGAAGCAGCAUUCAAAUUACAUAAUCAUGUAUAUAUAUUCAUAAAUGUAUAUGUAUAUUUACUGAACACAAAAUAAUUAUAGGAGUAAUUAAAAAUAUCAUAAAGGUAAUUGGUUAAAAAAUGAUAACAAAAAUAUAUGUAUAUAAAUUAUGAAUUUGUAUGACAUACAUAUUUAAUUACUCAUCGAUAAUUUCGAAUAUACUCGAACAUUGUCCUUCUUAGCGAUAUUUAUAUUAUUAUACUGAUAAAAAAAUGAAGAAAAAAUAUUGCGAGCAUAAUAAUGUUUAACUGACCUGUCAAGACUCGAUAGGACGACCAAUUAUAUGAAGAUAUAUGUGAGUUAAGUCAAGGGUUAAACCCAGCGUGUGUGUCUGAUUAUUUGGGUAAAAUUUGUGACAUGGAUUGACAGGAAACGGAAGAGACAUUAUUAGAGAAUAGCCUGAUGCUUUCUGUUGACCUUUUUCAAUAGAUCGAGAGACAUCGAUGGCAUUGGAGUUCUGUUGACCAAUCCUUUGUUGAUCGUAGAUACGAUAAAAAAUAAAAUAUAUAACCGGUACGGUACAUUUGUCUAUUGAUAAAUUUUUUUUUUAUACCUUUCUCACUUCAUAUUUACUGUUAUAGUUAUAACUCAUUAAUUGUAAGUUAUUAUUGUUUAUUUAAUGUACAUCCACACAAGUGUAUGAUGUGUAAUUAUUAUUAUUGUAUCAUUAGUUACGCAUAUGCAUAGAAUAUUAUAGUUGGAAAAAUAUACAAAUAUAUGAAUGUAUGUGUAUAUAUAAAUAAAAGAAAAUAUAUUAUGGAGAAACUAAAAAGAUCAUAAAAUAACCUUCGGUUUUUGUUGAAUUUAAACACAAUAUAAUGUA